CCUACGGGAGGCAGCAGUGAGGAAUAUUGGUCAAUGGGCGCGAGCCUGAACCAGCCAAGUAGCGUGAAGGAUGACGGCCCUACGGGUUGUAAACUUCGUUUAUAAAGGAAUAAAGUGAGGCACGUGUGACUUUUUGUAUGGACUUUAUGAAUAAGGAUCGGCUAACUCCGUGCCAGCAGCCGCGGUAAUACGGAGGAUCCGAGCGUUAUCCGGAUUUAUUGGGUUUAAAGGGAGCGUAGAGGGGUUGUUAAGUCAGUUGGGCAAGUUUGCGGCUCAACCGUAAAAUUGCAAUUGAUACUGGCAGUCUUGAGUACAGUUGAGGUAGGCGGAAUUCGUGGUGUAGCGGU
RNAcentral lists this ribosomal RNA (347 nucleotides) under uncultured bacterium. RNAcentral describes it as "partial 16S ribosomal RNA". It matches the Rfam family "Bacterial small subunit ribosomal RNA", at positions 338 to 682 of the family's 1533-position model. The record is from RNAcentral.